Molecule: long non-coding RNA, 3461 nt
Organism: Heterocephalus glaber (naked mole-rat)
Lineage: Eukaryota; Metazoa; Chordata; Mammalia; Rodentia; Bathyergidae
Source: Ensembl
CCCCCGGCCCGCCGGCCGCUCGGAUCUGAGACCACUCCCCAGCCUCCAGCGCCCGAAAUUCGAGGACCGUUGCCCACACGCCACCGUUUGCCCCGGCGGCCGAGGCGGCAUGUGCAGACACGUCCUGGUCAGCACGCACGCACGGAGGAAUACUCCCCUCGGGGUCCCGGGGGCAAAGCCUUCCCCAGCCAGGACAAACUCCAGCGUGGGCUCCGGCGGUGACUUCCCCGUGCCCCACCAGCACCAGGGCCAGAACACGCGCACCCCGAAGUCACCGGUGCCCCAGUCCACACCUAGGCACGCGCACGCGGCUCGGGCUCCUCCAGGUGAGUCCCUCCUGGUCACACUCCCGCGUGUCCUUGUCCCUUUGCACGCUGAGUCCAGUGCACGCCACCCACGCACGCACGCGUCCUCCGCUGUCCGGGUGCGCGCACCCCAAGGUCCCGGCCUGCGUGAAGGAGAGGUGCAGGCAGCCCCAACCUGGGCACUUAGUCGCCUCCCAGUGCCCCCGCCUGUCAGAGGUCAGCGCUGCCCCACCAGACUUGGGGGCUGCUCUCCAAGCACCCCCGACGGGGCUGAUUCUCGGGUUGAUCUUCAGUUCAAAAGCUGGGGGCCCUUUCCGGUCGUCCCUCCGCGGCGUUUUGGGUCACCCUUCUGCCCCCUCUAGUUUCCCAGGGUGACUCUCCCUCUCCCCGGCCCCACGGAACAGGAAGACACCGCGGGCAGGCGACCUUUGCGAAGGCUGGCCCCGGGACCCACCCUUUCCGAGGCGUGCUGCUGCGCCUGAGUUUGGGGCAGACUUUCCCGAAGCUCCCAUCCCUUCCCGCGAGCCUGCUGCCUCGGGCUUCCAGUUCGGGGUCCUUCAAGCUGGUUUUUCCCGGGUCAGGCCACGUACCCCUCGGACAUGCAACUCUGCGAAAUGCCUUUUAUUUUUAAGUAAGAGUGGGAGAGAAGAAUGCCUAGGGCAGAUUCCCCUCCACCCCCCGAAUUUGCUGACGUAUCCUUUGAGCCCAGAGCAGGGCCUGGCACCCCGGGGGCGCUCACCAAAUAUCUGCAGCACCUUUAUUCCGCGUGCUCCCGCUGGACGGCGGAAGUGGAACGUGGACCGGCACUGGCUCCUGGUGGUGUCUUGUGGAACUGUCGCCGAGGUUCUUCCGUAGCGCGCAGAUUCGGCCUUCUGAGCCUCAGUGUUCUCUCCUGUAAAACAGAGCUCGUUUUAGUAGUACAUGCCUAUCCGGGUAAACAAACGAGACCUGAGAAGGGCUUUACACAAGUUCUGGCACUUGUAAAAUCCUUAGUAGGAGCUACUAAUAUUGGAAUUACAGUUACAUUCCUUUCCCCGGCUUGUUUUUAGAGAGACCUUUGAUCAUAAUGGAUGACGAUAUUUUGGAAGGAAGGAGUGAAAAUGAAGGAGGAUUCUGGUGGUAGGUGCAUCCCUCCGCCUGCUGCAAAGUCAGACACUGCCCCAGAGGCAUCUCAUGUCCCUGGAGGGCUCCCGGGGCCCCACCCUGGGAAAGAAUAACUCUAGGUGAUACAGGGAGUGGUGUCAGGCUCUUGGAUGCUCAGUCCAGUUCUGGCUAAUGAAAGAAGAGUGGCUUCCGUGGCCCUGAAAAAUGCUGGAGCUGUGACUUCCAACUGACCACGUCAUGGUUCAUAGUCAGGUGUCUGCGAGGCUGUGGUGUCUGUCCCUCCCACCAGGCUGAACCCCAGGACUGUCCAAUCUGGUGGCCCCUGGUACGUUACAUGUGACUAGUAUGAGUGUGGAAUUGCACUUUGUUUUAUUUACUUUUGGUAAUUUAAAUAUAAAUGGCCACAGGUAGCCAGUAGCUACUGAAUGCACAGUGUGUAUUUAACAUCAGAGAGGAGAAAAACCACGUCUCAUGUUCUUUCUUGUAUCCCAUGACCUACACAGUGCAUGGUUCAUCAAAUAUUUGUUGACUGAAAGAAUAAUUAAAUUUCAGCCUUGCUUUCCUGUUAUGGUUUAUAUCUAAAAUGUCCCCCAAAGCCUCAUGUGCUUCCAGGUGGGGCUUUUGGGAGUGGAUGGAUCAUGGGUGUGUGAUACUGGAUUAAGGGUGUGAUAACUGGAUUAGUCCACUCAUUGAUUUAGCACAGUUUUGAGUGUGGGUAAUAGGAAGGCCCACCCUGGGAGUGGGUAGCACCAUCCAGUAGGCUUGUAGCCUGGGUGGGAUAAAAGGGAAAGGAAGCCUUGCUAACUUGCUUGCUGCUUGCUCACAGCUUGCUGCUUUCUGCUCACCCUGCCAUGGACUGUUUCUCCUCUGUGAUAGCCCCUCUGCCAUGCUGCCCUUCCUUGGAGCCAGAUUAGUGACUAAACUUCUACAAAUGGUGAGCUAAAAUAAACCCCUUUCCUCCUUUAACUUUUAGUAUCUGGUAUUUUAUCUCAGCAACAAGGGAGUAACUGAGACAUUCCCCCAUUAAAGUAUGUCUGUUCUUUGCCCAGACCUUUCAGGAGCCUCUUUAUUCUGCAAGUAAUUACCUCAUAUCCCAAAUGGCUUUCCAGCUGUCCAUCCAUCUCCACAAAUCAUCUUGGCAUCACAGGGGUCUUUGGUUGGUGCCACUUCUGAAACAUCAACCGACUCCAUGGAGAAACUGGAUGAAAUGGUGGAAUCCAGACAUCUGAUCUAUUUGAAGUGCCCUUUGAAUUGCCUUAGGCAGUCCUCCAAGUGUGGCCUGCGGAACCUCCCUGGGAUCUGCAAGAUGAGAACUGUUUUAAGGACAGCUCUAAGGCCUCGGUGUCCCUUCUCACCAGCAUGGAGGCAGAGUAGCUUCCAGCAGCUUCCAGAUCCAUGAAGUGGAAGUUGAGGCACAGAAAGGAAAUGAUCAGAAAGCCUCCCGCAUUCAGAUGUUCCCCAAGAGGGACAGGCUGGGCCUUCGUGUGAAGAACAGAAUGUUCCUGGCCACUUCUGUGGGCAGGAUGAAUUUGAGGACCUCAUUUCUUCUGCUGGGACUCUGACCUCGUUCAACAUCACUGGGAAUGAUAGUGGACAGGGCACUGUCCACUACAUCCUAUCUAGAAACAAUAAAAUAAGAAAUCUUAAAAUUCCAAUGUAUAGAGUCUGUGUUUUAUAUAUCUGUUCAUCAGCUGAUGGGCAUCUCAUUGCUUUCGCUUUGAACUAUAGUGAACAAUGCUGCUAUAACCGUUUGUGUACAAUUCUGUGGGGCCCUAUAUUACCAUUUGGGGGGGAUAGAUACUUAGGAUGGAAUGGCUGUUUAUAUGGUAAAAGUAUGAUGGGUAAGAAACUGUCCACCUACUCUAAAAGUUGUUUGUUUGUUUGUUUGUUUGUUUGUUUUAGGGACAGGGUCUUGUUAUACUCCCCACACUGGCCUUGAAUCCAGGGCUCAAGGGAUCCUCCUGCCUCAGCCUCUCAAGUAGCUGGGACUGUAGGUCUGUGCUACCUACCAUGCCUGGAUUAGAAGUGUUUGUCAGGCUGGGCACAGUGGCA